UACAGAGGGGGCAAGCGUUAUUCGGAAUUAUUGGGCGUAAAGGGCGCGUAGGCGGCUUUGCAAGUGACGGGUGAAAUCCCUCGGCUUAACCGAGGAACUGCCUGUCAAACUGCAUGGCUUGAGACCGGGAGAGGUGAGUGGAAUUCCCAGUGUAGCGGUGAAAUGCGUAGAUAUUGGGAGGAACACCAGUGGCGAAGGCGGCUCACUGGACUGGUACUGACGCUGAGGCGCGAAAGCGUGGGGAGCAAACAGG
Molecule: ribosomal RNA, 253 nt
Filed under: uncultured bacterium
Lineage: Bacteria
Description: partial 16S ribosomal RNA
Rfam family: Bacterial small subunit ribosomal RNA
Source: RNAcentral